UGCCACUGGCUUUUCAGCGACUCGCCGGGAGCCUGCGGCCAAAGCCCCAGACCACACGGACUGCGUGCUCUUGCGCCUCCCCGCUCUGCCGACCUCGCCCAUGUCUCAGUACGCUCCCAGCUCGGACUUCAAGAGGGCUUUGGACAGCAGUCCCGAGGCCACCACCGACGAUGACAAGACCGAGGAGGACGUGCCCAAGCCCCAAAACUACUUGUGGCUUGCCAUCGUCGCCUGUUUUUGCCCCGCGUACCCCAUCAACAUUGUGGCUUUAGUCUUCUCCAUCAUGGCUCAGAACAGCUAUGAGGAUGGAGACAUUGAAGGAUCCAAGCGGCUUGGAAGGAAUGCCAAGUGGGUGGCUGUCGCCUCCAUCGUUAUUGGCCUUCUUGUCAUUGCUAUUUCUUGUACAGUUCACUUCACUUGGAAAUGAAGAAACGGAGGCUCAGAGAAAUGAGGCGACUUGCCUGAUAUCUCGCAAUUAAUUAGUAGAAAAGACAGAGGAGCCUGAACAGCCAGCAGUCAUCUACGAGCAUGGAGGAUGGACCUCAUCCACACACACCCCAGAGGAGUUUUUGAGGAAUGGAUCCUUGACUUCAGACUGUGAGGAUCUUUUCCUUCAGGACUCUCCAGAGGCAGGUCCCUGGCAAAUGAACUAAAACCAGAAAGAACAGCAGGCAACAACAAAAAAAGUCCAAAAUUUAGGAAACCCAGGCAGCAAAGCCAGAUGAGCUGAAGCCAUUGAUUUUUUUUUUUCCUUAAGAAAAUCAAGCCUCACUGUUUCAGUGUAUCAAAAGCCGUUGUGUCCAUGUGUGCAUUCCUCUUCUCCAGAGAUGAGCCUCAGAAAAUCUUGUUGCUUUUAAUGAGGGAAGAAGUCCAGAUCCGGGAGGAGAGGGAAGUUCUGGGGAGAGUAAAGGAUCCUGGUUUGCAGCGUGGAGCGCGUUUGUAGCAUGUUUAAAGUCAUCGAAUAGAGCUGACUUUGUGCCUUGUUUGCUUUCAUUUUUACAUGUUGUAGCUUCACUUUGGCCUUUAGUAGCUCCUCCUCCAUCAGCUCCAUUCCAUCAUCAAAGAUGGGGAUGAAGGAGCUUUCUGGUCUUUCGCCUUAGUCUCGCCUGACUCCCUCCCACCAACCCCUUGCUUACAUCCCCCAUGGCUCAACUUGACCACACCCUCAUUUGUCACCUCAGACAGACUCAGACUCUGAGAAUGUACUUAGUGGUCAGUCACAGGUACAUGGGGAUCCUUCCCAUCCCAGUUCUGAGAAUAUACUGCCUGUGUUUAAUGAACUUACUUCAAUCUCUCUCUCUCUUUAGCAAGUCUCAGGCAAGAUCUUUGAUUUUCCUGGAUGCAACCUGGAAAUGCCACCCACUGUAUUUAUUUUUCUGUCAAAUGUAAACCCUGUAGGUGUGACUACUGGUCUAACAAUGCCACCAUUAUUCUGCCUGCCAGAACACGCUAACCCCGUGUGCAAGAUAUACCACUGGUGGUACACAAAGAUAACUUUUAAGUCAUUUGCAGCCACAAGAUUAAGUGUCACUAAAUCACAAAGAACAUUUGCAUUUUUCUUUUUCAAUCCUGAUUACAUUUUAGAGAAAGUCUCUGUUUAGUGCUCAUGGGUCCUCAACACCUUUCUGAUUCUUUGGUUUGUUUCCCUUCUUAAUAAAGAGCAGACCUCAAGUUCAAAGUCUUCUGUUUAGACAAAAUUUAAUAACUUAGUGGGUUUUCAGUCUAUGUAUUUUAUUGCUUUCCAUUUAUGAGUCUCCACUUAGGAAUAUAAUUUUCUUGUCAAAUGCAUUUACUUACAAAAAGAAGUGGACUCAAAGAAAAUAUUAAGUGAUUAAUACAAAAGGUGAUAAGGGCAUAUAUGUUAAAAAUAACUUCAAAAACUAGUACUAGAAAUCAAGAAAAUAACCUUCCUAAGCAAAAGAAGAGGCAGCUUAUUCUAAGUGAAUGAACUAGUGCCUAAAUCAAAACACCUGAGUUUCAAUGCCUUCUUUGCCACUAUCUAUCUAUGCAAGCCAGUUUUAGGCAAGUUUCUCAGCCUUCUGUGCCUCAGAUUUCUUCAUCUGGAAAACGGAGAUAAGAACACCUGCCUACUUAUCUCGGAAUGGUCAGUAUGAUAAUUAAUCACCAUGAUAGAUACGAUUGCCCCAGAGGGAAAAUUCUAAGUGUUACACAAAUACAAAGCAUCGUUCUUAGAUUAUUGUGGAUCCCAGGGAUUUGUUAAAAACCCUGGACCCUCACAAAAAAUAAACACGGGUGGACACCAGAUUCUACUUGUCAUUUCACCCAGACGUCCGUCAUGAGCCAGCACUUGUCCCAGGAGGACAUGAACCAGGAAUACCAAUUCUCAGCACACAGAGAUCCCAGCAUCAUUCCAGUAUAUGGAUCUUGAUUUCUGUUCCACACACCUUGUUUUCUGUUUGUUUGUAUUCAAGUUCCUGAUCUUUUAUCCAAAUCAAAUGAUGUGUUGCUGAGAGGCAGAAUAAAAAUGG
Molecule: RNA transcript, 2489 nt
Organism: Budorcas taxicolor (takin)
Lineage: Eukaryota; Metazoa; Chordata; Mammalia; Artiodactyla; Bovidae
Gene: TMEM233
Gene name: transmembrane protein 233
Exons: 4
Source: RefSeq, a predicted model, not a curated record